UGGGGAAUAUUGCACAAUGGGCGCAAGCCUGAUGCAGCCAUGCCGCGUGUGUGAAGAAGGCCUUCGGGUUGUAAAGCACUUUCAGCGGGGAGGAAGGCGUUAAGGUUAAUAACCUUGGCGAUUGACGUUACCCGCAGAAGAAGCACCGGCUAACUCCGUGCCAGCAGCCGCGGUAAUACGGAGGGUGCAAGCGUUAAUCGGAAUUACCGGGCGUAAAGCGCACGCAGGCGGUCUGUCAAGUCGGAUGUGAAAUCCCCGGGCUCAACCUGGGAACUGCAUUCGAAACUGGCAGGCUAGAGUCUUGUAGAGGGGGGUAGAAUUCCAGGUGUAGCGGUGAAAUGCGUAGAGAUCUGGAGGAAUACCGGUGGCGAAGGCGGCCCCCUGGACAAAGACUGACGCUCAGGUGCGAAAGCGUGGGGAGCAAACAGG
Molecule: ribosomal RNA, 429 nt
Filed under: Chloroflexota bacterium
Lineage: Bacteria; Bacillati; Chloroflexota
Description: Chloroflexi bacterium partial 16S ribosomal RNA
Rfam family: Bacterial small subunit ribosomal RNA
Source: RNAcentral